This 496-nucleotide ribosomal RNA is filed under the name uncultured bacterium. RNAcentral describes it as "partial 16S ribosomal RNA". It matches the Rfam family "Bacterial small subunit ribosomal RNA", at positions 28 to 507 of the family's 1533-position model. The record is from RNAcentral.
GAUGAACGCUGGCGGCGUGCCUAAUACAUGCAAGUCGAGCGAACAGACGAGGAGCUUGCUCCUUUGACGUUAGCGGCGGACGGGUGAGUAACACGUAGGUAACCUACCUAUAAGACUGGGAUAACUUCGGGAAACCGGAGCUAAUACCGGAUAAUAUUUCGAACCGCAUGGUUCGAUAGUGAAAGAUGGCUUUGCUAUACUUAUAGUUGGACCUGCGCCGUAUUAGCUAGUUGGUAAGGUAACGGCUUACCAAGGCAACGAUACGUAGCCGACCUGAGAGGGUGAUCGGCCACACUGGAACUGAGACACGGUCCAGACUCCUACGGGAGGCAGCAGUAGGGAAUCUUCCGCAAUGGGCGAAAGCCUGACGGAGCAACGCCGCGUGAGUGAUGAAGGUCUUCGGAUCGUAAAACUCUGUUAUUAGGGAAGAACAAACGUGUAAGUAACUGUGCACGUCUUGACGGUACCUAAUCAGAAAGCCACGGCUAACUACGUG